GACGAACGCUGGCGGCGUGCUUAACACAUGCAAGUCGAACGGAAAGGCCUCUUUCGGGGGGUGCUCGAGUGGCGAACGGGUGAGUAACACGUGAGUAACCUGCCCUUGACUUUGGGAUAACUUCAGGAAACUGGGGCUAAUACCGGAUAGGAGCUCCUGCUGCAUGGUGGGGGUUGGAAAGUUUCGGCGGUUGGGGAUGGACUCGCGGCUUAUCAGCUUGUUGGUGGGGUAGUGGCUUACCAAGGCUUUGACGGGUAGCCGGCCUGAGAGGGUGACCGGCCACAUUGGGACUGAGAUACGGCCCAGACUCCUACGGGAGGCAGCAGUGGGGAAUAUUGCACAAUGGGCGGAAGCCUGAUGCAGCAACGCCGCGUGCGGGAUGACGGCCUUCGGGUUGUAAACCGCUUUCGCCUGUGACGAAGCGUGAGUGACGGUAAUGGGUAAAGAAGCACCGGCUAACUACGUG
RNAcentral lists this ribosomal RNA (466 nucleotides) under uncultured bacterium. RNAcentral describes it as "partial 16S ribosomal RNA". It matches the Rfam family "Bacterial small subunit ribosomal RNA", at positions 28 to 507 of the family's 1533-position model. The record is from RNAcentral.